This is a long non-coding RNA of Bactrocera latifrons, 1060 nucleotides long. RefSeq lists it as uncharacterized. The transcript is spliced from 4 exons. The record is from RefSeq and is a predicted model, not a curated record. Lineage: Eukaryota; Metazoa; Arthropoda; Insecta; Diptera; Tephritidae.
UCAGGCUCGGCGGCGCCGCGGCAUUUCGGGGAAAAACUAAAAUUUUCGCACAAUUUGUACGCGUAGCAAAUCUAGUUAAUUAUUUGAUCGAAAACCUACGUUCAUAGGCCAUAUAAAUCACUAACAGAGACACAUAAAUACAUGCAAGCCGGACCUCAAUAGUUUUGCGAAAAUAAUUUCAGAAGAAGUGCGACUCGAACAUUUCCAAAGUGAUUUCAACGGGAAGUAUGGAAUGCAAACUACCUUUGCAUGUAAAUAAAGCAACAAUUCGUAUUUUAAAUUAAAAUAAAAGUGCCCAAUUUAGUCUGGGCAUCAGUGGUGUGUAAUAAUCGAGAGAAUAUUUGUUCGCAGUGCGAAAAUUUGUUUUGAGAAUUUCUAAUUCCAUGAAAGUCGUGUGUACCGUCCGUGCCUGCGUUCGGAAAAUUGAAUUGAGUCAGCUCCGCUUGUGGAAUUCURUGUGAUAAUCAAUUGAAGAAAAGUGAAGGGUAUAAAGUGUUCGAAUAAAUUGUUUUUCUAUGGUUCAGCGAAAUUUUUAUGCCUUUUUGAAAAACUUGAAAUACUUAAUUGAAAUAAAAUAUCUAGUUUUUGAAAAACUUAUUAUUUACAAAACGAAACGAAUUUAAGCGCAGCUGGUAAAGUGGUAAAGUACCGGUUGGUUGGAAAAGGUGAUAACUGACUCUUUUUUGAGCCAAACGUGAAACAGUAAUAGAACCAACAAAGCGCUCGCAAGUGUUGAUCGCUUAAUUGAAGUGUGAAUGGAAUCAGUGGUUACUGUCAUAAACUGGGUUGGUCGGCGAGUGGGUCUCUUAGUCACUAUUGAACGGCUUGUGCGCUUGGGUGGCUCUGGAAUUUGCAAAGCGACCUUGUCAGGAGAAUUAAUAAUUUAAAACACACGCACUAAGAACGCGAUUGAAAAUACAAUUAAGAAAAAGAAUUUGGUAUAAAUAGUGACUACACUCAGGUGAUUGGUAUCAGUUAGCCACUGACUUCAAACAGAGUCACAACUUCGUAUAAUUUUUCGUUUUUGCAAAUCCAUUUCAAAACUUAAAUUAAAAAUGCA